AGUUUGAUCCUGGCUCAGAUUGAACGCUGGCGGGAUGCUUACACAUGCAAGUCGAACGGCACCGGACUUCGGUCUGGUGGCGAGUGGCGAACGGGGAGCAAUGUAUCGGAAUGCCUAGUAGGUGGGGGAUAACUACGCGAAAGCGUAGCUAAUACCGCAUACGCCCUUCGGGGGAAAGCGGGGGACCUUCGGGCCUCGCACUAUUAGAGCGGCCGAUAUCGGAUUAGCUGGUUGGUGGGGUAACGGCUCACCAAGGCGACGAUCCGUAGCUGGUUUGAGAGGACGACCAGCCACACUGGGACUGAGACACGGCCCAGACUCCUACGGGAGGCAGCAGUGGGGAAUUUUGGACAAUGGGGGAAACCUGGAUCCAAUAUCCUGCGUGCGAUGAAGGCCUUCGGGUUGUAAAGCACUUUGGCAGGGAAAAAGAAACGGCACGGGAUAAUACCCCCGUGCAACUGACGGUACUCGCAGAAUAAGCACCGGCUAACUACGCCAGCAGCCGCGGUAAUACGUAGGCAAGCGUUAAAUUGUGGAAUUACUGGGCGGCGCAGGCGGUUCGGAAAGAAAGAUGUGAAAUCCCAGAGCUUAACUUGAACUGCAUUUUUAACUACCGAGCUAGAGUGUGUCAGAGGGAGGUGGAAACCCGCGUGUAGCAGUAAAUGCGUAGAUAUGCGGAGGAACACCCUGAUGGCGAAGGCAGCCUCCUGGGAUAACACUGACGCUCAUGCACGAGCGUGUGAUUGAUUAGAUAAUUCCGGUAGUCCACGCCCUAAACGAUGUCAAUCCAGCUGUUGGGGCCUCGGCCUGGUAGGCAGCUAACGCGUGAAGUUGACCGCCUGGGGAGUACGGUCGCAAGAUUAAAAACUCAAAGGAAUUGAUUGGGACUCCGCACAAGCGGUGGAUAGAGUGGAUUAAUUCGAUGCAACGCGAAAAACCUACCUACCCUUGACAUGUUCGGAAUCCCGAAGAGAUUUGGGAGUGCUCGCAAGAGAACCGGAACACAGGUGCUGCAAGGGUUGCCGUCAGCUCGUGUCGUAGAUGUUGCUAAGUCCCGCAACGAGCGCAACCUUUGUCAUUGGGCUAGUUGCUACGAAAGGGCACUCUAAUGAGACUGCCGGUGACAAACCGAGGAAGGUGAUGACGUCAAGUCCUCAUGGCCCUUGGUGGGUAGGGCUUCGACGUCAUACAAUGGUCGGGACAGAGGGUCGCCAACCCGCGAGGGGGAGCCAAUCCCAGAAACCCGAUCUAGUCCGGAUCGCAGUCUGCAACUCGGCUGCGUGAAGUCGGAAUCGCUGGUAAUCGCGGAUCAGCAUGUCGCGUGAAUACGUUCCUGGUCUUGUACACACCGCCUGUCACACCAUGGAGUGGGUUUUACCAGAAGUGUUGGGCCUAACCGUAAGAGUGGGCGAUUACCACGGUAGGAUUCAUGAUUGGGGUGAAGUCGUAUCAAGGUAG
RNAcentral lists this ribosomal RNA (1458 nucleotides) under uncultured Bordetella sp. Its description in RNAcentral is "partial 16S-23S ribosomal RNA intergenic spacer". It matches the Rfam family "Bacterial small subunit ribosomal RNA". Lineage: Bacteria; Pseudomonadati; Pseudomonadota; Betaproteobacteria; Burkholderiales; Alcaligenaceae. The record is from RNAcentral.